Molecule: long non-coding RNA, 687 nt
Organism: Cyprinus carpio (common carp)
Lineage: Eukaryota; Metazoa; Chordata; Actinopteri; Cypriniformes; Cyprinidae
Source: Ensembl
AUGAUGUCAUCAUCUUUGGAUCUUAGGUUCUCUUUGCUGUCUAUCCCAACAUGCACACCUCAUUGCUCUUCCUGUUAUAUCUCUCAAGAAUGCUUCUUUCUCAUGAUGAAUGUUCAUGUAUUAGCCUGUCAGCCAGAUGGACAGCAGAAGUCUUUAAUCUCUCCCUCUCUCACUCUCUCUCUCAGCCCAGUUCCCCCUCCUGCCGCAGGAGUCUUUGUGGAGCCCGUCAGUCAGGUCAUCAGAGAGACAUUCAGCACAGACACGGAGCAGAAGAUUUAUAGCUGUGAGAUCAUGGGCUGCUUGAGGAAAGAGGAACAAGAAAACCAGAAAGCACCUACUGAGAAGUACUCAAAGAGAUUUAAUAAACAGAAGUAAAACACUGAACUGAAAUACUGUGAAAUACUGUGCACAAUGUUAAAGAAAGUUCAUAAAUUUGGUCCCUUCAUACUUUGGGACAUAUGCCAAAGAACAUAAUCUAAAGCUGAUUUUAUAUCGAUAUGUACUGUAGGGUGGGCUACAUUUUUAUGUUCACUCAGGAUUCACUCAUCAGCAUUUGGAAACCAUGACUUUUCUCUGACUGGUGUGGUGAGCAAGUCAUUUUUUUGUGUGUGGAUUCCUUUUGUGUCACGUUGCAUGAGAGCAUAAAUGAACAAAACAGAAAUAAAAUAUGGAAUCGUCUUGAUUUCA